GGGGGCCUUAUUAUUCUGCGUCCCUCUCAGCAGCUCCCACAGCGCCCAGUGCCUGGCAUGUGCUCCACAGACACACGAAGAAAUGAAGGCGGGUACAGGAGAGGAAGGGGACAAGAGGACAGAGGAAGGCUGUGGAUCCGGUCGUGGGAAGCAGCUUUCUGUGCCUCAGCCCUCCACAGAGAAGACUGCUAGGCCUGAGCUGACUCCCCUGGAAACCCCAGACUCCAGUGACGUGCUUCUGGAACCUGCUCAGACAAAGUUAGGUAAGAGCCUGGGCAGUGGGUGGGUUGCAACACCCAGCCUGGCUGACCAGAAAGCUGAAGAGGACUGGAAGUUCAAGAAGAAGUAGAGAGGAGGUGGAGAGAGAGAAAGGGCAGAAGGAGGAGACAUCGAAGACCUCCCGAACAUCUUCUGUGGGAUCUCAGAGAAGGCAAAGCUCACCCUCCUGACUCCAGGACUCAUUUGUGUCCAGCCACUGAAUUAUCUACUUGUUACCCCUCCUGUGGAUCUCUCCCGAGGGAAAGAUCUACCUUGGAAGGCUGGUAAUAAAAGAUGUGGAGCUGAGCCACCUUUGGCCACGUAGAUGAAGACACCUUAGAAGAUGGCAGAGACACAAAAUGGAAAAGCCCUGGGUCUCCAUAAGAUGACAUGGUGGACAUCUGCCCUGCCAGUCUGGACCAUUCAUUUCCAGACUAUGAGUGAGAAAUAUGCUUCCAUCUUAUUUAAGCAACUGUAUUUGGAUAUUUGAAGUGUUUCAUGAUCACGAUAAGAAUUACCGCCACCCACAGUAUCCAUCGCAGUGGGCAGAGCCCGUGGCAGUGAGCAUGCAGCUUGGCUCCCCAGCUCUGGUCCCAUCUCUACUGCUCUGGAGCUAUGGCACUUGGAAAAGUUUCUUCGCUUCUCAAGCCUCAGUGUCCUCAUCUGUAAAAUAAGGAUAAUAAUAGGACUUUCCUUAGAGUAUUUUUGUGAGGCUUACAUGAGUUAAAAUGUAAGGUGCUUAGUGUAAUGCUGGGCACACAACGAGUACAACAUAAGCAUCAGAUUUUUCUUCCUAUUUCUCAACCUGUGACACUCAGCUGUCAUCUCUGUGAAACUUUCCAGGACACUGUCCCCAUGUCUAAUCCAUCUAUCAAGACUGGGCCAAGGAGAACUGGGCGCUCCAUCCUGACUUCCACCUUGCUUAAUUGUGUAGCAUAACUAUUUGUCUGUCUGUCUGCCUGACUAUACUGCUCUCUUAUUUAUCUUUGUGUCCCUGAUGUCUGGCAAUGAUAGGAAUGUAAGAAUCAUUGUGGAUGACUGAAAGAACAAACAAAAAAAUGAACAAGUGAACGUCCCUCCUGUCUCCAGUGCAUCCACUAGUGUUUUCUCCCAUCCCCCCUCCUCUUUCCAGGCGCCCUGGACUAUUAGACUGGCUUAAGUCCCUCCAAUCACAGAAGAAAUACUUGACCAAGAGUCAUUACUCUAAACAAACACUCUUUCGGGGUUGUAAAAGAAACCCAUAUGUAGAAGGCAAGGUUAACACAAAGGAAAGAGUCUCUAAUGGUAGAAUCUAAGAUUCUAAGGCACGCACGUGUGCACACGCACACACACCAUCUAUCUCUGCUCAGAGGGAUUAUCUCAGCAAGUGAGACAUAUUGGAAGGUAAUGUGGGAACAGAGCUCUCAGGGAAAAAGUUGUGAAUGUUCUUUGAAGAGUUGUGCGUGAGUCACAUUUUUAAAAAACACAAAUCAUAUUCCUAGUGAAUAAAAGAAUGUUUUUAAUUUACUGGAGGACCUGGCUAGUUAAAUCUUAUUGUGAACUCUUUAUUAAAGACUGAAGUAAGGAAUUCUUUUGUUAAGUAAAUAUUCAGGCCCUUCCUUGCCAAAGAGCUUUUGAAAUCUUUGCUGUAAUUAUGCUGAUGUUUUCUGUGUUUAUAUGUUAAAUGCCUAGAGCUUAAUUGUUAAUGGGUAAAUAAGAGGAGCCACACGGUCCUUGCCAAGAGAGGCCCAAGAACCAGGGCUGUAAGAACAAUGGUUCCGCGGGGCUCCCCUGGAGGGGGUGAAAGGCAGUAGGGUAAGCCAGCGGCUUGGGCUCUUCUCUGUAGGCACGGCUCCUACGGGGCCCGGGGAAGAGACAGACCUGGGGGUGACAACGAAGGCUACUGUCAGGUCGUGGGCCUGGGCCUGAACGAAGGUGUCUGCAGGGCCCUAUCCAGCCCACGUUUUGUUUUUCUGCACCGUCAAUAGGUCAAGAAUUCCUGCUGCCCUCAAGAAAACCAACCGGAGAAUUAUGACACUGUAGGAAUAACUGGCAACCAGAUGACGGGCCGAGGGCUGAGGUCCUGGGCUGGUCUCUCAAGGCAUUGGCCCGGUUGGAAUUCCACAGCCACCCGCUCGUGAGCUCUGCAGCUAUUAAAGCUUAGGCAUGUAAUUUAACCUUUCCUCGAGGUCCUUCUCAGCAUACUGGGGAUAAAGGGACCUACUUCACAAGGGUUUCAUGAAAAUUAAAUAAAUUAGCAUGUAGAAAAAUGCUUAGAACCAUGACUGGCAUAUAGUAAGUGCUAUAUAAAUUAAAUAUUUAACUGAGAGUUAAAUAAACAUUGUGUUAGGUUUCCAGAUAUCAAGUUGAUCUGGAACAGAGGUGCAACCAACACCUUGCUUGUGGAUCGUUUGCAGCGUUCCAGUGAAUUGGUCCUCCUUCACAUCGAUGCAUAUUUAAAUACAGUGUAGUCUUUCUAGUCUCUGCAGUGCAUCCUCCAAAAGAUUAUAUGCCCAGGAUAAGAACUUGUGAGGAUGAUAAAUAGAAGAUAAAAACAACAACAAACACGCACAUAGAGACACAUAUUGGG
Long non-coding RNA from Equus caballus (horse), 2827 nucleotides. RefSeq lists it as uncharacterized. NCBI's taxonomy places the organism in Eukaryota, Metazoa, Chordata, Mammalia, Perissodactyla, Equidae. The record is from RefSeq and is a predicted model, not a curated record.